CUUUUUUCAGAGUGCGUUUCGUCGCUCCCUCGCUCCCUCUAUCUAGAACAUUCUUCCAGCUAUCGAUACGGCGAAGUGGCGAACCAUAGCUCCUGUAUUGUUCAGUCUAUCUUCACUUUUAGUUUUGAGAGUUGAGGGUUUCAGUCUUAUUCUUGAGGGUUUCACUUGAGGGUUUCAGUCUUAUUCUUGAGGGUUUAGAGUUCUUCUCUUCAGCCUUCAUUGAUCUUUCUUCAAAGUACGCUUUCCUCCUUCCCUCCCUCCCUCGCUCCCUCUAUAUGGAACAUUCUUUCAGCCAUCGAUUGAUCAGUUUUAACAAGGCGCAUUUUAGAUCCUGUAUUGUUCAAUCUUUCUUCACUUUCAGUCUUGAAAGUUGAGAGUUUCAGUUUAUUCUUGAGGGUUUCAUUCUUGAAGGUUUCAGUACCUAUAGAUCCAUAAUCAUUCUCUCUGCUACUGUACACACCCCCUCUCACCGAAACCCUGCAAUGGCUGUGAUACCUUUAAUUCCGUUUACCACUUUCAUUGAAGAGAGAUGUCCACACCCCAUAGAAGGAAGAGUGAAUGUCCCAGAAAACUUCUUAAUCGACGAGAAAUUUCUCAUGGUCGGUCCAAUGUUAUGGGAGAAUCAUUUUGCAUGGGUCUAUGAAGGGAGGUAGCAAAACCACCCUGUGGUCGUAAAGAUCAUGAAGCAAGACUUGGUUCAUGUGGCUGCUAACAAUUUCCAGAAAGAGAUCAUCAUGCUAUCUGAAGUUCAGCAUGAUCUCAUAGUGCAGUUCAUUGGAGCAUCCGACCAUGCUCCAUUUGUUAUUUUAACCGAGAAAAUGGAAGGAGGAACUUUGGAAAACUACCUCAAAACAUUUAGACCCAGUCAGUUGGAUCCUCGGAGAGCGCUAGAAUUGGCUCUUAAUAUGUCUUGAGGUAUGAGUUUUCUACAUGAGAGGGGAAUCAUUCACAAGGAGUUGCGACCUGAAAAUGUUUGGUUAAGCUUAGACCAUGAGAAACUCAAAUUGGACUUUGGGGUGGCUAGAGAGGAGUCUCUCCAAGCAAAAAUUGACACUCGGAGUGCAGCAUUACCCUGGGUCGCUCGGGAGUUGCUUCAGCAGAGUGUGCAUAGUUGUGACACUGAUGUAUACAGCUUUUCGAUCUGUUUGAGGGAGGUUCUUACGAAUAAAGAACCGUUUAAGAAAGCGAAGAAGGAUUAUUUGGGGGUAUUGCAGGCUGAAUGUCCUAGUGUCAGGAAGAUACCCAAGAGGUAUCCAAAUGUGGUAAAAAGUCUGUAUUCGCAUUGCUUGAGUGUUUGGAAUCCUUCCAAACGCCCCGACUUUUCGGAUAUCACGAAGACAUUGGCCCAAGCAUCUAAGCAUCUCUCUUCUCGUCUUGCUGAGUUCACUUCUGCAUCCAGUACCAGCUGAUGCGAGGGCAAUAAGGAUCAAUGACAACAUGGAUGACUCACUUGCUCGUGGAUUUAGAAGUUCCAGCUUUUCUUGCUGCUUCCAUGGACAAGACUAAAUCCGAACUUUUUACAGCUUUUCUUUUAGCAUAUGGGUGGUAGAGCUAUGAAAUAGGAGUCAAACAGUGGAUAAAGACAAGUCCCAAUGGUCAAGCUAAUGGACAGUGAUAGAGACUGUAAUAGCUGAUGUUUGAGUCCUCCCACAUAGAAGAGGACACAGAGAGUGACAAAAAUGUCUGUUUACUUGGAUAUAAAAGGAUCCCAAAGUGGGACCAAGAGAUCUCGACCCUCUUCCCUUUGUUCUUUUCAUCAUGUCCUUAUAGUAUAUAAAUGCGAAGGCACUGUACUGUUGAAAGGGCGAUAGCCUUCCUUCUAUUGACACUAUAAACACAGUAAAAUCAAUGCCACAGGACCACAGUUACACAAUUUGGCAAGAAGAAAGAGCCAAUGGUCAAAAAGGGGUGGAAACAAGCCUUUGUGAGUCAGGGUUUUAAAACAAGGAAUGGGGUCCAAUCGAUUCUGAUCUGGUUCUAUUUUAGAUAGGUCGGAAUCGGUUAGGAAUCUAUUGGAAUUGAUCAGAGUCCAUCUGAACCCAAGAAACUCAGAGUGGAUCUGCUGUUUCAGUCUUUCAGAGUGGCAAAAAUGGAGAUUGGACUUUGUUGAUUUUGAUUUAAACCAAUUGAUUUGUCUGAUGCAAUUUUAAUUUCUAAAUCUCUGUUCUAAGGGUGUCAAUCAGUCGGUGUACUCUAAUUUUUGUAUGCCUUAUAAAUAGAUUGUUAGUUGUUUGCC
This is a long non-coding RNA of Macadamia integrifolia, 2236 nucleotides long. RefSeq lists it as uncharacterized. NCBI's taxonomy places the organism in Eukaryota, Viridiplantae, Streptophyta, Magnoliopsida, Proteales, Proteaceae. The record is from RefSeq and is a predicted model, not a curated record. The transcript is spliced from 6 exons.